AGACUUUGAUUAUGGCUCAGGACGAACGCUGGCGGCAUGCCUAACACAUGCAAGUCGAACGGAGUCUUUGCGGAAGUUUACUUUUGUGAAGACUUAGUGGCGGACGGGUGAGUAACACGUGGGUAAUCUGCCUGAGAGACUGGGACAACAGGGGGAAACCGCUGCUAAUACCAGAUAAGCUCACGGGGACGGGAGUUCCUGGGAGAAAAGGAGAAAUCCGCUUUCAGAUGAGCCCGCGGCUGAUUAGCCAGUUGGUGGGGUAACGGCCUACCAAAGCGACGAUCAGUAGCCGGCCUGAGAGGGUGUACGGCCACACUGGAACUGAGACACGGUCCAGACUCCUACGGGAGGCAGCAGUGGGGAAUUUUCCGCAAUGGGCGAAAGCCUGACGGAGCAAUGCCGCGUGAGUGAGGAAGGCCUUCGGGUUGUAAAGCUCUGUCUUCGGGGACGAAUAAAUGACGGUACCCGAGGAGGAAGCCACGGCUAACUACGUGCCAGCAGCCGCGGUAAUACGUAGGUGGCGAGCGUUGUCCGGAAUGACUGGCGUCAAGGGCGUGUAGGUGGACUGAUCAGUCGGAUGUGAAAGCCCCAGGCUUAAUCUGGG
Molecule: ribosomal RNA, 604 nt
Filed under: uncultured bacterium
Lineage: Bacteria
Description: bacterial SSU rRNA
Rfam family: Bacterial small subunit ribosomal RNA
Source: RNAcentral